GCCUUGGGGGUUCAGUGUAAAAUUCUUGUCUUCCAUGCAAAAGACCUGGGUUUGAUUCCUGACCAAUGCA
Molecule: transfer RNA, 70 nt
Filed under: Loxodonta africana (African savanna elephant)
Lineage: Eukaryota; Metazoa; Chordata; Mammalia; Proboscidea; Elephantidae
Rfam family: tRNA
About the family: Transfer RNA (tRNA) molecules are approximately 80 nucleotides in length. Their secondary structure includes four short double-helical elements and three loops (D, anti-codon, and T loops).
Source: Rfam by way of RNAcentral